GAUAGCUCAGUUGGGAGAGCGUCAGACUGAAGAUCUGAAAAUCGCAUGUUCGAUCCACGCUC
RNAcentral lists this transfer RNA (62 nucleotides) under Musa acuminata subsp. malaccensis (wild Malaysian banana). It matches the Rfam family "tRNA", at positions 6 to 65 of the family's 71-position model. Rfam says of the family: Transfer RNA (tRNA) molecules are approximately 80 nucleotides in length. Lineage: Eukaryota; Viridiplantae; Streptophyta; Magnoliopsida; Zingiberales; Musaceae. The record is from Rfam by way of RNAcentral.